RNAcentral lists this long non-coding RNA (551 nucleotides) under Phoenix dactylifera (date palm). RNAcentral's name for it is "long non-coding RNA (PDAC_LNC021941)". The record is from RNAcentral. Lineage: Eukaryota; Viridiplantae; Streptophyta; Magnoliopsida; Arecales; Arecaceae.
UCCAAUUCUCCGGCACUCAUCAUAACAGGGCUAUAGAUGCCGAGCACCAAAACACAAUAUAUUAGAUGAUGAUGAGCUAACUGUGAGAGCCCGUGCAGGCGUGUAUUUAGUUCCGCAUCGGUUAUUUAUUGAAUAGAUCUUGGAUUUUUAUACAGGAUCAAACAACCCAAAUAAUACCUUUUGGUUAGUCAUUUUGGGUGAGGUUCUAGAUUAUUACAAAUAGUAUUAGAGCGGAUCCGGCUCGUAGUUUUUGUGGACUAGGGAACACUGCAGCACGGAUCCAUUGAGGCUAACCACGAGCCGAUCGUGGUGUUUGUGAUUAGAUUUGAUGAAUGAAUUUGAACCUUUAGCCUGACGAGAACGUCAGGAUUUGAAUGAAAAAAAGUACAUGAGGAUCCAUGCGGAUGUGUGUUUAGUCCCAUAAUAUUGGUUAUUCGCUGGAUAACAAAUACAUAAUGUGAAUUUAUUUAUCAUAAUACAAGUUUCACAACGAUCCAAUUGAGAAGAUUUGGGCAAGCAUUUCAGGUAGGUAAAAGAUUAAUUGUCUUGCA